GGGCCGGUAGUCUAGCGGAAGGAUUGAAAGCAUUCCCUUAGGAGGGAAAUCCCCCGGGAAUUCAAAUCCCGGCCGGUCCA
Molecule: transfer RNA, 80 nt
Filed under: Thermoproteus sp. JCHS_4
Lineage: Archaea; Thermoproteati; Thermoproteota; Thermoprotei; Thermoproteales; Thermoproteaceae
Description: tRNA-Leu
Source: RNAcentral